GCCAACAUGGCUCCAAAAUCCGCCCUCCGCCCCCAUCUCCCUUUCAAAACCCGAAUCGCCGUCGCCCUCCUCGGCGCCGUCACCGACGGCGUCCGCCGGUCCGACGGCACCAUCAAUCGCGGCCUCCUCAACCUCCUCAGCAAGAAGACAUCCCCCAACCGCUCCCCCAUCAACGGCGUCUACACCGUCGACGUCACCAUCGACCCCGCCCUCAAUCUCCGCCUCCG
RNAcentral lists this unclassified non-coding RNA (227 nucleotides) under Hevea brasiliensis (rubber tree). The record is from RNAcentral. Lineage: Eukaryota; Viridiplantae; Streptophyta; Magnoliopsida; Malpighiales; Euphorbiaceae.